This 709-nucleotide ribosomal RNA is filed under the name uncultured bacterium. RNAcentral describes it as "bacterial SSU rRNA". It matches the Rfam family "Bacterial small subunit ribosomal RNA", at positions 102 to 788 of the family's 1533-position model. The record is from RNAcentral.
ACGGGUGAGUAACGCGUAAUCAACCUGCCCUUCAGAGGGGGAUAACAGUUGGAAACGACUGCUAAUACCGCAUACGAUCUAAUCUCGGCAUCGAGGAUAGAUGAAAGGUGGCCUCUACAUGUAAGCUAUCACUGAAGGAGGGGGUUGCGUCUGAUUAGCUAGUUGGAGGGGUAACGGCCCACCAAGACGAUGAUCAGUAGCCGGUCUGAGAGGAUGAACGGCCACAUUGGGACUGAGACACGGCCCAGACUCCUACGGGAGGCAGCAGUGGGGAAUCUUCCGCAAUGGACGAAAGUCUGACGGAGCAACGCCGCGUGAGUGAUGACGGCCUUCGGGUUGUAAAGCUCUGUUAAUCGGGACGAAAGGCCUUCUUGCGAAUAGUGAGAAGGAUUGACGGUACCGGAAUAGAAAGCCACGGCUAACUACGUGCCAGCAGCCGCGGUAAUACGUAGGUGGCAAGCGUUGUCCGGAAUUAUUGGGCGUAAAGCGCGCGCAGGCGGAUAGGUCAGUCUGUCUUAAAAGUUCGGGGCUUAACCCCGUGAUGGGAUGGAAACUGCCAAUCUAGAGUAUCGGAGAGGAAAGUGGGAUUCCUAGUGUAGCGGUGAAAUGCGUAGAUAUUAGGAAGAACACCAGUGGCGAAGGCGACUUUCUGGACGAAAACUGACGCUGAGGCGCGAAAGCCAGGGGAGCGAACGGGAUUAGAUACCCC